Long non-coding RNA from Brassica napus (rape), 1114 nucleotides. RefSeq lists it as uncharacterized. NCBI's taxonomy places the organism in Eukaryota, Viridiplantae, Streptophyta, Magnoliopsida, Brassicales, Brassicaceae. The record is from RefSeq and is a predicted model, not a curated record. The transcript has 2 exons.
GGGAAUCGAGCGGUGAUCUCUCGUCGACGGAAUCAAUCGGCGUCGGUGUACUCGUCGUCUCUCACCCUCUCCUCGACGGAAUCAAGCAGAAUCAAUCGAUGAUCUCUCGACGACUCCGCGUCUCUGUCUCUCACCUCGACGACAGCUCGUCUCUCUCCCUCUCCUCGAGGAGACCCCGUCUCUCUCUCUCUUCUCGACGAUACCUCGUCUCUCUCUGUCUCCUCGACGAUGCCGCAUCUCUAUCUCUCUCCGCCUCUCCUCCAAUCGAAAGGUAAUCAAUCAUUUGUUCUUGUGUUCUUCUUUCAUGCAUGUCUUUGAUUAGGCUUCUUCUUGUUCUGAUCGCAUGUUUGAUUUGUUUUGUCGGUUCAAUUCUGUCUCGCGGUGAUUCUCUACGACGGCGACGGAGCUCUCUGCGGUGGCUCUCCCCGGAUCAAAAGGUAAAGCUUCUGUUUCAUGUAUUUGAAUCAAUGAUGUCUAAGAUUGUGGUUCUUCUGUUACGAUAUUGAUUUGUUUGUUCAGUUCGAUACCGUCUGUAGAUUGAUUGGUUUGUUGUGUUCGAUUAAUUGUGAUUUGCUUGCUGGUAGUUUAUUAAUUUAGAUUUGGUUUCUGUUUGUUGAUAUAAUUUUUUGUUUCUGUGUUUGCCGUUUUGAGAUGGAGAGGAUCAAAUACGUUAUGCAUACACGGUGAAGGUUCAUCGAUCAAAGGACUCCAAUCACAAAACAAGGUGAAGAAGACUGCUUGAGGAGAGUGAGAUCAUCACAUGAUAAUAAGGUAAUGGGACUACUCAUUACCAUCAGAGCCACAUACCAUGUUCCGUUUAAAACGAAUAAAAUACGUGGCAUUGGUAGUAAUGAGUGUUCCCGCUACCGUAUUCGGUUGAAGAUUCACGGGUGUUGUAUGUGACGUUGAAAGAGCUAGAGUGAGAUGUACUCGGCUGUGUCAGGUUCACGGGUGUUGUAUUAUUGUGCAUGGGUGUUGUUGUGUCACAUGUAAUAUAUUGUAAUUUCACGGGUAUGUAUUAUGCAUGGGUGUUGUAUGUAUUAUGAUCACGGGUCUUGUAUGUAUUAUUGAUCACGGGUGUCACUUGUAUUAUAAAGUCACCAAACUCAUCUCA